AAGUCGUAACAAGGUUUCCGUAGGUGAACCUGCGGAAGGAUCAUUAACACGUAUCCAAACGAUAAACAACCCCGUGAACAUACAACCUGCUCUGGUCGCCCGCUCGCAUGGACAAGCCCAGUAAAUCAAGCCCCGGAAAGUUUUUGAUUUGGGACCUCUGUGCGCGUGAGAAAAACUGACAGCGAUUCAUAGAAGCGGUAGGUCAAGUGACACGGCGUCCCCACUUUAUUGCCUUGCCUGUAAGCAUCCAUACGGAUGGGCAGGCCCCCCGAACAACUGUUAACAAUGGAUAUCUUGGUUCUC
RNAcentral lists this unclassified non-coding RNA (303 nucleotides) under fungal sp. RNAcentral's name for it is "partial internal transcribed spacer region". The stretch from base 1 to 46 matches the Rfam family "Eukaryotic small subunit ribosomal RNA", at positions 1786 to 1831 of the family's 1831-position model. Lineage: Eukaryota; Fungi. The record is from RNAcentral.